UACGUAGGGUGCAAGCGUUAAUCGGAAUUACUGGGCGUAAAGCGUGCGCAGGCGGUUUUGUAAGUCUGUCGUGAAAGCCCCGGGCUCAACCUGGGAAUUGCGAUGGAGACUGCAAGGCUUGAAUCUGGCAGAGGGGGGUAGAAUUCCACGUGUAGCAGUGAAAUGCGUAGAGAUGUGGAGGAACACCGAUGGCGAAGGCAGUCCCCUGGGUCAAGAUUGACGCUCAUGCACGAAAGCGUGGGGAGCAAACAGG
Molecule: ribosomal RNA, 253 nt
Filed under: uncultured bacterium
Lineage: Bacteria
Description: partial 16S ribosomal RNA
Rfam family: Bacterial small subunit ribosomal RNA
Source: RNAcentral